UUAUAUAAAGUAAUAUUUUACAAAUUAAUUUCGACUUAAUUAUAAGGAUUUAACCUUUCCUAUAUAUA
Molecule: transfer RNA, 68 nt
Filed under: Nomia chalybeata
Lineage: Eukaryota; Metazoa; Arthropoda; Insecta; Hymenoptera; Halictidae
Description: tRNA-Arg
Source: RNAcentral